Molecule: long non-coding RNA, 1153 nt
Organism: Pezoporus flaviventris
Lineage: Eukaryota; Metazoa; Chordata; Aves; Psittaciformes; Psittacidae
Exons: 4
Source: RefSeq, a predicted model, not a curated record
CCAGUUCUAAGUUGCUGGCUGGGCUUAAACCACAACUGGGGCCUACAAAGAUACCAGAGAGGGACUUUUCAUCAGGGAUGGUAGCAAUAGGACAAUGUUUUUAAACUUAAAAUGUUAAGGUUAGAUUUAAGGAACUAGUUCUUUACUAUGAGGGUCAUGAGGCACUGGAACAGGUUGCCUAAUUAGUGGUAAAUGCUCCAUUCCUGGCAGAGUUCAAGGCCAGGCUGGACAGAGCCUUGGGUGACAUGGUCUAGUGUGAGGAGACCCUACCUGCGGCAGAGGGGUUGGAACUAGAUGACCUUUGAGGUCCUUUCUAACUCUAACCAUUCUGUGAUUAUAUGAUUCUAUGUUUAUAUGAUUUUUGUUAUACCAACAAUUACCAUUUUUGCUACUGUUUUUUGGUUUUUUUUCAGCAGUUCCCGAGCCAUCUGUUCGGAAAUGCUCCAAAGGAAAGAAUGAGCCUGCCAAAAAUAGGAAAUUUUGGACACAAACGGACAUCUACGACAAAUACACUUCAGGAUCCUAUAAUGCACCAACCUGGGGGAAAAGAAAUCCACAGGCAAAAACAUUCUCCAAGACUAAAACAACCAUUCAGAGCCAAGAACACAUGGAAGCGACCCAAAAAGGAAACCGAUAUGAAGACAGAAGGGAGAUGAAACGAGUACUUGAAUUCACAAGAACAGUCUAAACUGAAAUAAGGGAAUUCUCAACUGUAGUUCAAACGAUCAUAAAAUUGUAAAUUUCAAAAAGGCAGCCUGGGGCCUGAAUGGGAUCAGAGCUGCUUGUUAGGGACAUAAGCAUCCACUGCUCUUUCUGCUGUAGCAGUAGACAUCAUGGAAGCAAGAAAAAACAAUGAACCCCAGCAGUGUAAGCAGUUAACACACAGCACCUAAGAGCAGGAAUCAGGUAAUUUCUCAAUUCACUAAAAGGAGUGAAGUAAGAAACGUGGAGCACAAGGACUUGCGUUAAAAGACGCUCAAAGAAUAAUGUUCAUCUUUGUGCUCUCAAGACAACAGGUUCUACACAGGAAGAAGUUGGGUCUUAUUUAAGCACCACAAGAUGGGUUUGUUCCAUUUUACAUUAAAGAAACAUGGGACGGGAGAAUGGAAGACUCUUUGAGAUCGUGUGAUUUUCAAUACUUUGAUGAAACGAG